AAGAAUCCUCCAAGGCAUGCCAGGCUGGGUCACUGCGGCUGCUCUAACCAAAACUAUAGACAAAACAAUCCGGACAAGGAUCUCGUUUCGCUUCUCUUGGCCACACAAGCUGGAGAGUCUUCAUCGAAGCUGGUUUGCAGUUUAUUCGAGCUGUAUACUUUUGCUUGCUAGAAUCUUUUUUUUUUUGUUGCAAAAUCAAUUCUUUACACUUUGAUAAGGCAUCCGUUCAUUCAAUUAUAAAUGUCAUUUCUAUUAUUUGAUUAAUCACAAAAAAU
RNAcentral lists this long non-coding RNA (275 nucleotides) under Brassica rapa (field mustard). RNAcentral's name for it is "long non-coding RNA (BRAP_LNC006174)". The record is from RNAcentral. Lineage: Eukaryota; Viridiplantae; Streptophyta; Magnoliopsida; Brassicales; Brassicaceae.